AUGAGGCACAAUGACCCAGGCUUUCAAUUCAGAUUUACAGUUCAACAUCUAUUAAGAGCAAGUCAAUGCCUCCAGUGGGGGAUCGUCACAGUGCAAAAGCACUAUUGUGUUGGGCUUUGCUGCUCAAACUUAAAAAACAAAACAAAGAAAAAACAAACACAACGUUUGGGAGGGUGACAAAGUAAACACCAAUACAGAUGAUGCUGGACAAACAUGUAUUUGGGGGAAAAAUCAUAAAUGGAUCUGUUGUCUCACAGGUGUGGAAUAUUCAAGGACAAACUUGAUUGCGGAUACACAAGGGACUUUCUCAGUUUUAGCAUGAUGAUGAGUUGAAUACAUGCACCGUGAGCAUGUUAACAGAGCUCAAACACUGCUGGGUCACAUGCGGGACAUUUAGACUAAAGAUUAAGUUAAGGUCAUGACCUUGGUAGAUUCCAAAUGACCAAAUUUAAUUUAAAAUGUUUUUUACUUUUUAUAUUACAUAUACAUUUACAUUUUAUGUUUUAUAUGCCUUUUAAUUGUAUAUAUUUAUAUUCAUAUUCAAAUGCUUUUUAUUUUUUUAUUAAACAGCUUUAGGAUUUUGAAAACAUUUAAAACAACAACUAAAUAAUUAAAUAAAUAACUUAAAUAGUGUGACAUACAUAAAUAUAUAUAUAUAUAUAUAUAUUAAUUUUACAUUUUAUAUACUAAAAAUUGUUUUACCUUUUCCUUUUAUUUAAUUAUAUUCAUACUCAAAACCAACAUAUUUACAGGGUUCAAAAGGUCUUAGAUUUGCUUUUCUGCUUUUCACAUUAAACUUAAACGUUGAAAUAAACAGUUUUAGAACAUGUAGAAAAUUAAGAAAAUUUUAAAACAAAUAAAACUUAUUAAUAAAUAAAAAAUUUAUAUAAAUACAAAAUUUUAAUUAAAUUAAAUACUAUUAAUUUUUUUAUCCGAUUUUUAUAUUUUGUUAAAAAUGGUUUUAUGUUUUGCUUUUGUAUAUUUAUAUUCAUAUUGAAACUGUACUUGGUUCAUAAGAUUGAUUUUAAAAUAAAAUAUUCAUAAACUAAAAUACAAAAAAUAAACUGUACUAUUUCUGUUAUUAAUCGAAAAAGCAAAUUUGUGAAAUUAUACUUCACUCCUUUGUACAGAUGAUCUAUCUAUCUAUCUAUCUAUCUAUCUAUCUUGAUAAUAUAAGUUGUGCCAUAAAAAAAAAAAAAAAAAACAUUUACAUGAGCAGUCUCAAACUUUUUUUUGAGUUUAUUAUUCAUAAAAACACAGUCCGCAUUUGAUCACGGGUUGCUAGAAUGCGUUUUAAUGCUCUUUGAUUGAGUCCCUUUUUUGUGUUGAGGUUAAGGAGUAAUUAAUCACAACAUUUUUACACUAAACAUUACAUAAUUUUUUUUUACAUAAUCAUGUGUGGCGCUCUCACCUGCGAUGACACCGCCGAAAGGGCCCCGCCGAACCCUCGUCAUUACACCCAACAAUAACACAGGUGUGUGAAAAAUGGAAAACUGGCAAGCGAUAUGAAUUAUUAAUGUCAAACUUAAGUAUUAGAACACGAAAUCAACCA
Long non-coding RNA from Cyprinus carpio carpio, 1552 nucleotides. The record is from Ensembl. NCBI's taxonomy places the organism in Eukaryota, Metazoa, Chordata, Actinopteri, Cypriniformes, Cyprinidae.